UACGUAGGCAGCAAGCGUUGUUCGGAAUUACUGGGCGUAAAGGGCGUGCAGGCGGUUUGUUAAGUGCAGGGUGAAAGCUCCCGGCUCAACUGGGAGAGGUCCUUGCAUACUGGCGAACUCGAGGGAGGCAGAGGAAAGUGGAAUUCCCGGUGUAGUGGUGAUAUGCGUAGAUAUCGGGAGGAACACCUGUGGCGAAGGCGGCUUUCUGGGCCUUACCUGACGCUGAGACGCGAAAGCGUGGGGAGCGAACCGG
Molecule: ribosomal RNA, 253 nt
Filed under: uncultured bacterium
Lineage: Bacteria
Description: partial 16S ribosomal RNA
Rfam family: Bacterial small subunit ribosomal RNA
Source: RNAcentral